This 206-nucleotide unclassified non-coding RNA is filed under the name Hevea brasiliensis (rubber tree). Lineage: Eukaryota; Viridiplantae; Streptophyta; Magnoliopsida; Malpighiales; Euphorbiaceae. The record is from RNAcentral.
GAUAUAUAUACACCAAAGAAGUGGAAGAAGAGAACUUUUCUUCCUUAAGUUGACUGGUCAAAAUCCCAAAAAGAAUUGAUCGGUUUCUGUAGCGAUAGCUUGUCCCUUUGUCUCUGAUUGUUACUAUGUUGACUGCGGAAUAUGGCAGUAGUAGAAGCAGAAACAGAGUAUAACAAGUAAUUUUAUAAUAUUAUUGGCUAAAAAAA